UCUCUGUUGGUGAACCAGCGGAGGGAUCAUUACCGAGUUUACAACUCCCAAACCCCUGUGAACAUACCAUUUGUUGCCUCGGCGGUGCCUGCUUCGGCAGCCCGCCAGAGGACCCAAACCCUUGAUUUUAUACAGUAUCUUCUGAGUAAAUGAUUAAAUAAAUCAAAACUUUCAACAACGGAUCUCUUGGUUCUG
RNAcentral lists this unclassified non-coding RNA (195 nucleotides) under plant metagenome. RNAcentral's name for it is "partial contains small subunit ribosomal RNA, internal transcribed spacer 1, and 5.8S ribosomal RNA". The record is from RNAcentral.